UGGCUCGGCAAGGAUCCCUCGUCUCCAGCAGAUGAUCCGUGAGAUGUUUCCUGAUGUGGAGCUUCUCAGCUCAGCACCUCCUGAUGAGGUCAUUGCCGGGGGAGCAGCCCUGGAAGCAGGCUUACUGGUUGGCAGAGAUGGUCUUGUCCCUGAGGAGGAGUCUGUCACAGUAGAUGUUUCUACCACUGACAUACUAGUCAAGGAGGUGGAUGAAUCUGGAGCUGAGGUGUUCA
Molecule: long non-coding RNA, 233 nt
Organism: Larimichthys crocea (large yellow croaker)
Lineage: Eukaryota; Metazoa; Chordata; Actinopteri; Sciaenidae
Exons: 2
Source: RefSeq, a predicted model, not a curated record